UGACGUUACCCACAGAAGAAGCACCGGCUAACUCCGUGCCAGCAGCCGCGGUAAUACGGAGGGUGCAAGCGUUAAUCGGAAUUACUGGGCGUAAAGCGCACGCAGGCGGUUUGUUAAGCUAGAUGUGAAAGCCCCGGGCUCAACCUGGGACGGUCAUUUAGAACUGGCAGACUAGAGUCUUGGAGAGGGGAGUGGAAUUCCAGGUGUAGCGGUGAAAUGCGUAGAUAUCUGGAGGAACAUCAGUGGCGAAGGCGACUCCCUGGCCAAAGACUGACGCUCAUGUGCGAAAGUGUGGGUAGCGAACAGGAUUAGAUACCCUGGUAGUCCACACCGUAAACGCUGUCUACUAGCUGUUUGUGCCUUUAAGGCGUGAGUAGCGAAGCUAACGCGAUAAGUAGACCGCCUGGGGAGUACGGCCGCAAGGUUAAAACUCAAAUGAAUUGACGG
Molecule: ribosomal RNA, 447 nt
Filed under: uncultured bacterium
Lineage: Bacteria
Description: bacterial SSU rRNA
Rfam family: Bacterial small subunit ribosomal RNA
Source: RNAcentral